Molecule: long non-coding RNA, 334 nt
Organism: Arabidopsis thaliana (thale cress)
Lineage: Eukaryota; Viridiplantae; Streptophyta; Magnoliopsida; Brassicales; Brassicaceae
Product: other RNA
Exons: 1
Source: RefSeq
AAGUCUCUUAGAUAAUAGAUUAAACCAUCAUAAGAAUCAAGAGUAAGGUGUGUAUCAUGCUCCAUUCAUUGAAUUUGGUUUAGAGACGUACCAAAGCCAGGCCCUCCGCUUGACAAAUAUGGUAGACGAUACACAUCAGCUUUCUCAUUCUUCAGGACGUAGCUAUCAAAACAGAUAUAGAGUAAGACAAUUGUCAGUAGAAGCCUCUAUCAACAUCACCAAACACAUGCAUUUUGAGGCUGAGCUAGGAGAAUAGCCAGUAUAUAAUGUCUCAUCUCUAUAAUGAAGAUGAUGGUUAAUUUGAUACAUACGGGCUACCUCCUUCAAUGAACCG